RNAcentral lists this ribosomal RNA (233 nucleotides) under uncultured bacterium. RNAcentral's name for it is "partial 16S ribosomal RNA". It matches the Rfam family "Archaeal small subunit ribosomal RNA", at positions 745 to 977 of the family's 1478-position model. The record is from RNAcentral.
UCCUAGCAGUAAACACUGCACACUAAACAUUAGUAUCUCCUCGAGAGAUAUUAGUGCUGAAGGGAAGCCGAAGAGUGUGCUACCUGGGAAGUAUAGUCGCAAGGCCGAAACUUAAAGGAAUUGGCGGGGAGACACUACAACGGGUGACGCGUGCGGUUCAAUUAGAUUAUACACCGUGAACCUCACCAGGAGCGACAGCAGAAUGAAGGUCAGUCUGAAGGUCUUACCUGACA